This is a long non-coding RNA of Lampris incognitus (smalleye Pacific opah), 380 nucleotides long. RefSeq lists it as uncharacterized. The record is from RefSeq and is a predicted model, not a curated record. The transcript is spliced from 3 exons. NCBI's taxonomy places the organism in Eukaryota, Metazoa, Chordata, Actinopteri, Lampriformes, Lampridae.
CACACACAGCUGUCACUGGCCGGCUCGACUUGACCUCUGACCUCUUGAGGAGCGAAACAGUUUCCGUGUGCUUUGUGAUCGGCCUGAUGGGAACACGCGCUGAAAUGUCGGGGUCAGAGGAGUUUUCCUACUUCAGAGCCAGUCAUGGUAAUCGGUGUCUCCCCACCUGCCGCCCAAUGACUGCUGGGAUAGGCUCCAGCAUCCCCGCGACCCUGAGAGCAGGAUUAAGCGGUUCGGGUAAUGGAUGAAUGAGCAUUGUUGGAGGAAAUGUCUGCGGAACACAACGAUCUUUUGCUGCAUAAUGAUGUUCACUGGCUGAGCAAAGGCUGUGUGUUGGGCAGGGUGUGCGACCUGCGCAACACGCUUGUCAUUUUUAUCUG